Non-coding RNA from Chrysemys picta bellii (western painted turtle), 3420 nucleotides. Lineage: Eukaryota; Metazoa; Chordata; Testudines; Emydidae. The record is from RefSeq and is a predicted model, not a curated record.
CGCUGCUUUCCUCGCCCAGCACCGGCUCCCCUUUCCCGGCCGGGUCUUUCCUCCCGGGCCGCUCACUGCUCCUCUGCCCCGCUCCCCCCGACCAGGGGCCGUGUUUCCUGGGGAUGAGGCGGGUCUGGCCUGACGGCAGCAGAGCUGGGCAGCGUCGCCACUGCAGAGGAUGAUCAGAAUAUUCUACAGGAAGACUCGGAUGACCUAGAGGACUGGAGCGAUAGACAUGGGAUGAAAUUUAAUGGUACAAAGUGUGAGGUCGGGCCGUGCACACAGGGGCGGAAUCUUAGCUGCUCACUUGUUGGCCUCCAGUUCUGUCAAGAUGUUGCUGAGAUCCAGUGUGGGGAGGUGCCGUAGCAAAAACUCAAAGGUUUCUUGGCAGCCCCAGAACUUUUCCAGCAGGACAUGCAGCAGGCACACCAGCCCUCUGUUACCCUGGAUGAAGACACAACUAUCUUUAGGCCGCGCUCCCGACACGUGCUGAACAAGGCUGGCGAAGACAGAGGCUUCACGCCGUACUUCCUGAUCCUCAUCUUGUAGCAGGGUGUGUGAUGGAACCUUUUCCCCCACCCCUGCAACCAACCAGAACAUGAGGUCAGCGUACGUCCUUCUGCAUUGUCCCUAGCACUCCAUGAAGCAGCCAGCAGGGCUCCAUGCAGAGUCCUUAUUUCUUGCCCCUUCGAUAACAAAAGGCAGGAUUGCGAGUCAGCUGGUGAGUCUGUGAUGGAGCCGCUGCUCUGCCGCUCAACUGGGAAGCAACGUUCCUAGGUUAAUUUCAGCGUUUGCCUCGGCAUUCCUUGCCAGGCUGCUCACAUUACACCCCUGGCUUUGGAGUUUGGAUCUGAGGUCAUGCCUUGCUGCCGUGAAAACAGAAAGGGAGUAAGGGAACGGCACUUAAACCCACUCACCAGUUCGUGUCUGCAGCGUAAGCCAGCAGAGCCCGUAUCUGCAGCAGACGCCCAUGCAGCAUGUUGUGGGAUAGGACACCGCCUUGCUUAGCUAAGUCCCCAGCCAGUCGCAGCAGGAUCUUCCCGUAUUCAGCUGUAGGGACAACAGGGACUAGGGCCUUGGCUGCCAUGACUCGCACAGCGUAGAUGGGGUUUCCUGCAAGCUGAAGCAAGGGCUCCAGGAAGCAAGUGGAGACGCUGCAGAGCGAGCAGUGCAGAGCGGGAAACAAAGCAAAGAUUAUCCUGCUGCUGGUCUACGUCCCUGCUAAACAAAGCUGAACGGAAAGGGCUAGAAAAGGACCACGACCGCUCGAGAGCAUGUCUCGGCUCUGCACGUCAGCUCCACGGGGCCUCUGAGCCCUCAGGACCAGCAGUGCCACUGCAGCGUCCUGCCAUCGCGCAGCCCAUCCUCUGCCAGGACGCGAGUGACUCAGAUGAGGGCAGGGACCCUCCCCCUCUGCAGAAGGUGGCUGAUGCUGUUGGCUCUGGGAGGCUGUCAGCCUCACGCAGGCCAUAGGUAGCAGUGCCCCUGUGUGGACCCCCAGCCUGCACCCUGCCACCUGCCCAUGGGGUGGCCUCCUCCCCAUUUUCUCUACCUGCUCAGUCCAUCUGCCCCGGGUUGGAGUUUUGCCAAGAGCGUGAGGAUGGCGUGGAGCGAGGGGCAGAGGUGAAACCUCCCUCCCUCCGGCUCUCCUGCCGUCUCCAGAGCUGAGUGCAGCUCUCCCAGCAGGAUCUCCCUCAGCUGCGGGUAGCGGCUGAAGAACGCCUGAGGGCUCACCCCGUCCUGAGCGCAGCUAUCGUCCCGGCUCCGCUUCGGACCCAGCACCCGAGCUGUGAGGGCGCCUGAAAGAAAACAAGCGGGGGAAGGGCAUCAGGAACCACGGCCAUUGGCACAUGGCAGGGAUGAACCAGCUACCCCCAUGUACUCUGCCCUGCGCUUCAGCAUGAACAGCAAGUCCACCAGAGUCGUGUUCAGGCAGAGGAAACAUAUUAGUGGUUUGAGCACGGAGACUUCCUGACAUCUCUCCUUGGACCCUGCCUCAAAUCCUAGCAGAGCUGGCUCAGUCAUUCGACCUUCCCAGGCAGGGAGAUGGAGUCCCAUGCAAUUUACUCAACGGGGGGCGCUCUCAAAAGAGACUCCGAAAAGUAGGUCCCCCCUGCUCUGCAGGGCAUUAAAGAUGCUGUGGCCUGUUUGCUGGGGUUUCCCUCGGGCCCUUGUCCAGCAUCUCCCACUCCACUCGCUCUCAUGCUGAGCCACCCUCCACCCCAGAGAUCACUGAUGCUGUGUGUAAUGGGAGAGAUGGAGACAAGUCAAAAUUUAGAUCCUGACUGGGACUGGCCCAAAGGUCAGACCUGAGGUUUUGCUUGGGGCCAUCCCUUGAGUGCAGUUUGGAAAAUGCUUUGUGGGGGUGGGAUUCUGUAUAAAACAUUCUUCUUAGACCCUUUAGGGAACAGCUACCCUAAAUAGCAAAGGAAGCGGCUAGCAGACCUGGUAAGCUGAGCAUUCCUGAAGUAGCCCAGCGCUGGCCUAAUCUGGGAUGCUAACAGAUAUAGGAAUUAGCCUAUUAAGACUCACCAUAGACUGGAGGACACGUUUUGCAAACCGUACAACACGGUCUCCUCCCUCCUCCCCACCGCUGUUCACAACAGCGCUUCUGACGUGCUCGUCUUGCUUCCUGUUCCAUUCCGAGGGCACUCAGGGCCGGACACUGAGCAGAGCAAUGCCCUUGCUCCUAUGGAGGUUGACUGAUGGAAGGACACCCGUGUGUGCACCCCACGGCACUGCUAGGAAUAAGCAGCUGUUACUCACUGAAGAGCUGGAUGGCUGCGUUUCUCAUGGCCCAGCUAGACGAGCCUAGUGCCUUCAGAAGCAGAGCCAUCAUAGGCGUGACAUACUGCAGCAGCGUCGUUCCUAGGCCGGAGCCACGCACCAGUGUCUGCAGCACGUGCAAGGCGGAGACCUGCAGAGAACACACAACAAAGAGCACCGUGGUGGCCAGGGACAUCUUGGUGCCCACUGGCAGAAGGCAGUGCCCUGGGUCUGGUCUCCACAGAAUCAGUCAUCAAAGGGUGUCUGACUGACCGCAGUGCUAAUCAAGAGAUUGUGAAAUCUCCAUGGGAGAUUCUCUGCAGGAAAAAACAAGCAGCAGGAAGUUCCCUGUUUACAAGUGAUGACGAUGGAUGGCUGGAACUAUAUCUGGGGAUACAAUGGUAUGCCCAGGUAUCCUUCACUGAGGGGUCAAACUGCCAGCUGGCUUGUCGUAUGAACGAAGGAUCACAGCUGGUCUGGCACUGAUAAGAGAGACUUUGGGUGAGUGAUCUUUAUGAGACAGGGGAAUGUCUUGUUAAGUUUAGGCUCUAGAAAGCAUGUUAUGAUUUUAUUUUAUAUGUAACCAUUUGUUCCCAUUAAUUCUGUCUGCUUCUUCUCAAAUCUCUGGUCUUUGUUAAAUAAACUUUUACUUGGUUUCACUAA